AAAAAGGGACAGUUUUGGACACAAAGAAUGACAAGGAGUAUUACAACGAAUUUUCAGCUGUGGAUACAGGAGAUAAACAAAGUGGGCGAGAUGUGGUUACAUCCCCGUAUGCAGAACUUAGUGAACUCGACCACCAAAACACUUAUGAAGAACUUCACCAAUAUGAAAAAGCAGACGGAAAAAUGUAGAUGUACGGAUUGCUGAUGUUAAUAUUUAAUUGUAGAAAUCAUGUCCAUCUCUAGAUUUAUAUAUUUACAUAGACUUUUUCAGUUGUUUAAUAUCAAUGCAUAUUCUUGUUUCUUAUCGAGAGGACUUGCACAAGAUAAGACACUUCUCUGGCUCAUACAGUCGUUUUAUAUGUAUAUUAAAUAAUCAACGUUGUCGGCAGAAUAUCGAGCAGAAGAUUGUAUACAUGUACUUUGACAACAGAAAAAAGGCUAAGCAAAGGAAGAUAAUAUUUAUACUUUCACUUUCGAUGCAUGUAUUAAUUAAAUCCACGAACGCAUGUUUAUUUACCACUGUAAAGAAGUUUAAACAGAGACAGCCAAAACAUGAUAUUACUAUAAACUUAAUAUUUAAUUUCCCCUCUUUAAUCACGGAAAAAGAUAAUUGGCAUUUGUUUUACUCCAAAUCUUUCUAUUUCUAUCUCUAUUUCGAAAAAAAAGUGAAGUACAUGAGGAAAAUAUGUGUGAUGUUUAUGACGUCUAUUCAU
Long non-coding RNA from Saccostrea cuccullata (small rock oyster), 712 nucleotides. RefSeq lists it as uncharacterized. NCBI's taxonomy places the organism in Eukaryota, Metazoa, Mollusca, Bivalvia, Ostreida, Ostreidae. The transcript has 3 exons. The record is from RefSeq and is a predicted model, not a curated record.